AAAAACAAUUAAAGGAUUUAGGUUCCAUUUAAAUAUUACAACAUACACUAUCCUGUCUUCCCACUCAGAUUGAGCUAUGAAACCAUGACAAGUGCAUGGAGCAGCUAUUUGAGCACCAGGAAAGGAAAUGGUAUGCAGCGGUUUGGGAUGGCCCCAGCAGAUGAAAUACAACAGAGUCAGAGUGAGACUCCUGGAUUUCCUCAGUGUCCCCUGACUGGGACUCCAGACAGCCUGAAACUUGAAGGGACACAAGCCUGAAAAUUAAAAGAACUCCAGAAAGCCCUCUUGUUCAGGAUUGAAGAUAGGAAAAUAAACUUAUUUGGUCAAAGUGAAGGCUCAGUCCCCUGCACAAGCAGGUGGUCCAUGCUUCUGUUCUCAUUUCUCUUGCAGCAGUGCCUCUCCCUGGGUUCACACUGAUGUCCUAUGGAUGGAGAUGAUAAUUCCUGCAGCAGGUCACUCCUCAGCCCCUGUUACCUGAAGGGGCACUGUUCAAUCACAAUAUGGUGUGAGCCUCAUGGAUAUCCCAAGGUCUAGUCGCCACGUUAGACAUACAAAGAGAAGAAGGUGAUCCUGGUCAUCUGUCCUGGGGCCACUGACACUGAGGGUGACUGUGUCAGUUCACAAGAGAUGACAGAGCCUGCAAGGAAAGAAAAAGGGAGAGAAAAAAGUUGAAACUGAGCGGCUCAACCCAAGGAUAUCUUGCCACUUGCCGGGACUGGAGUGAUAACACACACCUUGGACAGGUGCAGGUUCCACCCCAGGGCACAGCCCCUGAGUGAUAGAGGUCAAUGAAAUUCCUUAUUUGCCAAGUGCACACAGAGUGUUGGAAGAUCCAUGAGAUGCUGGGAGUUUCUGCCUUGGCUGUGAGCUCCUAGGUAGGUCAUAGCUGCUGUGCCUCAGUAUCUCCAGGAUGCUGUCAGGACCAGGGACAGAUGGGGAGGCGAAGGAAAUGUUUGCUCCGUAAGAGAAGGAGAGGGGGCUGCAAACUCCAAGACCCCCAGAAGUGAAUGUUUAUUACAAAUAAGAUGUCUUCAGUUGCUGGGGAAAAUGUGUUAAUGAAUAAGAACUUAAGUCAACUAAAGGUUAAUGAGCAACUAUUUUGUGACUCACAAAGAAAUCAAGAGCUGUGAUUUGGCAGCUUCCCCAGGAGAGAGUCGGGAAAGACCAGGGACAGUGGAUGUGGAGGAGCAGCCAGGAAGGGAGAAGCCACUAUGUCUGCAGGACAGGGACUCCCAGAUCAAAGGAAAGUACGGAGGACACCUGUGACCUCAGGGAGGACACUGUACAUGAGGGGGACACUGUUUUAGCACAACUGGGUGUGGAGGAGGGGGCGUUGUGAGAAGUCAAGUGCCUGGAUCUGUGUCAGAGAGAGUCAGCAUGCAAAAGAGCUGAAGAUAAAAUGUGAUUCCAGAAUGUUUACAUCAGUGUCAAGGACACAAGGACAAUCUUCUAGGAAAAUAAAGACCCUUUCCCUCCA
Molecule: non-coding RNA, 1477 nt
Organism: Macaca mulatta (Rhesus monkey)
Lineage: Eukaryota; Metazoa; Chordata; Mammalia; Primates; Cercopithecidae
Source: RefSeq, a predicted model, not a curated record